GCGCAGGUCAGCUUGUUAUCCACAGACCAAGAGCGAACCCCUAAAGCGGGUGCCGGCGGUUCGAAUCCGCUCAGGCGCA
RNAcentral lists this transfer RNA (79 nucleotides) under Cellulomonas sp. Its description in RNAcentral is "tRNA-Phe". The record is from RNAcentral. Lineage: Bacteria; Bacillati; Actinomycetota; Actinomycetes; Micrococcales; Cellulomonadaceae.